Molecule: ribosomal RNA, 401 nt
Filed under: uncultured bacterium
Lineage: Bacteria
Description: bacterial SSU rRNA
Rfam family: Bacterial small subunit ribosomal RNA
Source: RNAcentral
UCGGGAAUUUUGGGCAAUGGGCGAAAGCCUGACCCAGCAACGCCGCGUGAGGGAUGAAGUAUUUCGGUAUGUAAACCUCGAAAGAAUGGGAAGAAUAAAUGACGGUACCAUUUAUAAGCUCCGGCUAACUACGUGCCAGCAGCCGCGGUAAUACGUAGGGAGCAAGCGUUGUUCGGAUUUACUGGGCGUAAAGGGCGCGUAGGCGGCGCGGUAAGUCACUUGUGAAAUCUCUGAGCUUAACUCAGAACGGCCAAGUGAUACUGCUGUGCUAGAGUGCGGAAGAGGCAACCGGAAUUCUUGGUGUAGCGGUGAAAUGCGUAGAUAUCAAGAGGAACACCUGAGGCGAAGGCGGGUUGCUGGGCCGACACUGACGCUGAUGCGUGAAAGCCAGGGGAGCAAAC